This 585-nucleotide ribosomal RNA is filed under the name uncultured bacterium. RNAcentral's name for it is "partial 16S ribosomal RNA". It matches the Rfam family "Bacterial small subunit ribosomal RNA", at positions 355 to 1375 of the family's 1533-position model. The record is from RNAcentral.
UGGGGAAUUUUGGACAAUGGGCGAAAGCCUGAUCCAGCAAUGCCGCGUGUGUGAAGAAGGCCUUCGGGUUGUAAAGCACUUUUGUCCGGAAAGAAAUCCUUGGCUCUAAUACAGUCGGGGGAUGACGGUACCGGAAGAAUAAGCACCGGCUAACUACGUGCCAGCAGCCGCGGUAAUACGUAGGGUGCAAGCGUUAAUCGGAAUUACUGGGCGUAAAGCGUGCGCAGGCGGUUUGCUAAGACCGAUGUGAAAUCCCGGGCUCAACCUGGGAACUGCAUUGGUGACUGGCAGGCUAGAGUAUGGCAGAGGGGGGUAGAAUUCCACGUGUAGCAGUGAAAUGCGUAGAGAUGUGGAGGAAUACCGAUGGCGAAGGCAGCCCCCUGGGCCAAUACUGACGCUCAUGCACGAAAGCGUGGGGAGCAAACAGGAUUAGAUACCCUGGUAGUCCACGCCCUAAAACGAUGUCAACUAGUUGUUGGGGAUUCAUUUCCUUAGUAACGUAGCUAACGCGUGAAGUUGACCGCCUGGGGAGUACGGUCGCAAGAUUAAAACUCAAAUGAAUUGACGGGGUCAUAGCUGUUUCCU